Molecule: long non-coding RNA, 492 nt
Organism: Daphnia pulicaria
Lineage: Eukaryota; Metazoa; Arthropoda; Branchiopoda; Diplostraca; Daphniidae
Exons: 3
Source: RefSeq, a predicted model, not a curated record
UUUCAAAUCCUUUUUUUUUUCGCUAAAAUAGUUCGAUUUUGGUUGCAGAAAAAAUUGCAAACAACUUUACCGCUAGACAUCUGAAAAUGUAUCUCCCAUCAGACCUGAUCCUGUUGAUGGUCUUGCUUGGACAAUGCUGCCAACCACUCAUAGUUAGGGGAGUCGAAGUAAAACAGUUACCUCAACGAGUGCAACUGGGUAUCCCACUGGAGAUCGUUUGCCGUGCCGAGCAGAGAGCUGGGCCAGCCGUAGUUUUAUCUUGGCGAUGGAUAGCCAACGGUGUAGUCGUCAAUCUCGAACCUUAUCGCCUUCCAACUGGUAAAAUACACAAGGAAAAAUAGUUAUUUAUACUGUUUUUUCUCAGCAAACAACCCUACCCAGAGGUGAGUGGACUGGAGGAUUUGAUUCAAUUUUUGCAAAGUGGCAAGCGGAUGGAGAGACCGGAAUUAAUGCCCAGAGCCAUCGGCAACGUCAUGGCGGAUUGCUGGAAGC